This 460-nucleotide ribosomal RNA is filed under the name uncultured bacterium. Its description in RNAcentral is "partial 16S ribosomal RNA". It matches the Rfam family "Bacterial small subunit ribosomal RNA", at positions 338 to 795 of the family's 1533-position model. The record is from RNAcentral.
CCUACGGGUGACAGCAGUGAGGAAUAUUGGUCAAUGGACGAGAGUCUGAACCAGCCAAGUAGCGUGAAGGAUGACUGCCCUAUGGGUUGUAAACUUCUUUUAUAUGGGAAUAAAAUGUUCCACGUGUGGGAUUUUGUAUGUACCAUAUGAAUAAGGAUCGGCUAACUCCGUGCCAGCAGCCGCGGUAAUACGGAGGAUCCGAGCGUUAUCCGGAUUUAUUGGGUUUAAAGGGAGCGUAGGUGGAUUGUUAAGUCAGUUGUGAAAGUUUGCGGCUCAACCGUAAAAUUGCAGUUGAAACUGGCAGUCGUGAGUACAGUAGAGGUGGGCGGAAUUCGUGGUGUAGCGGUGAAAUGCUUAGAUAUCACGAAGAACUCCGAUUGCGAAGGCAGCUCACUGGACUGCAACUGACACUGAGGCUCGAAAGUGUGGGUAUCAAACAGGAUUAGAUACCUCAGUAGUC